RNAcentral lists this transfer RNA (82 nucleotides) under Lemyra melli. RNAcentral describes it as "tRNA-Ser". The record is from RNAcentral. Lineage: Eukaryota; Metazoa; Arthropoda; Insecta; Lepidoptera; Erebidae.
AAUUAAUGAGCUUGUUUAAAGCAUUUGUUUUGAAAACUUAAGAAAGAAUUAUUAUUCUAUUAGUUUAUACUAAAAUUAAUUA